UCCAGUAUGUCACCAUCGGAAUAUUUCUGUAAUCUCUAACCUUUGCCGCUACAUAUUUCGAAAACGCACUAGAAUUAUCACCAAUGCAUUUUCCAGACGAAUCAAACGAAUAAGGCUGUUGUUUCCAAUUCGGAAUUGAGGGUCCACAUCUCCAUUGAGUUGAUCCUUAUAAAUACAGAAAAAACAAUUAAAAACCAAGAAACAAAAAUAAUUUUUCAAUUUAAGCAUAAAACUAGUUAGAAUAAAAAACAUAAACUAAAAUUAAUAAUCAUAAUAAUUUAAAAAUGAACCACCUUCGAGCUCUUCCUCUUCGAAUUGGAGUUCCUCAGAUGUUGAUCUUCAAAAUGGUGAUACAUAGAAAAUUGAGAAGGAGAAGAGGUGUGACAACUCAUCCCUAAAAUUUCGUUUUUUUGAUUUUAAUCGAAGGAAUUGACGAAAAUGCCUAGAGGCAAGGAUUUUGAUUUAUGUUGACCAUAGUCUAGAGGAAUGUAUGACUUAUUCUUUUGGUGUAUUUAAGUAGUACUUGUUGGUACGAACACAUAGGUGAAAACAGUUUACGAGUCUGGAUUAUAACGGUAUAGUUACAAACGUUUGAAGUUGGUUAUUUAAAGUUAGUUAAUUGGUUAAGGAGGACCAAUUAGAUAAAAGGUAGAAAAAGGGCAGCAGCCCAAUCAGAAAUCAGGAAAGA
This 688-nucleotide long non-coding RNA is filed under the name Malus domestica (apple). Its description in RNAcentral is "long non-coding RNA (MDOM_LNC006798)". Lineage: Eukaryota; Viridiplantae; Streptophyta; Magnoliopsida; Rosales; Rosaceae. The record is from RNAcentral.